GACGAACGCUGGCGGCGUGCUUAACACAUGCAAGUCGAGCGGUAAGGCCCUUCGGGGUACACGAGCGGCGAACGGGUGAGUAACACGUGGGUAACCUGCCCUGUACUCUGGGAUAAGCCUGGGAAACUAGGUCUAAUACCGGAUACGACCUGCCACUGCAUGGUGGUGGGUGGAAAGUUCCGGCGGUACAGGAUGGACCC
Molecule: ribosomal RNA, 200 nt
Filed under: uncultured bacterium
Lineage: Bacteria
Description: partial 16S ribosomal RNA
Rfam family: Bacterial small subunit ribosomal RNA
Source: RNAcentral